AUGGUUUGAGGAUCACUGAAAUAUUUGAUAUAUUGACGUGCAAAAUAUAUUGAGGUCUAGUGAACUAUAGUGAUUGGUGAAAAUUUUCUUUGAUUCAUUUUAGGAAUCUAGGAUGAUGAGGACAUUUAGUCCUCCUACUUCAUCUGCUUUUAAUUAAUUAAGUGCGAUAAAAGGGUUGAUCGGGGAUAUUAAAUCAUAGUGGCGUAGUAGAAGCGUGGUGAACCUAAUACAUUGGUAGCAGAAAAAUGGACGAUGCGAUUGGAGAAGAUAUUUGAUGUACGAAAUUGUUCUGAUGAUCAAAAGAAUUUCUAGAGAUCAAGGACAGGAAUAGCAAGGAC
Molecule: long non-coding RNA, 338 nt
Filed under: Musa acuminata (dwarf banana)
Lineage: Eukaryota; Viridiplantae; Streptophyta; Magnoliopsida; Zingiberales; Musaceae
Description: long non-coding RNA (MACU_LNC000465)
Source: RNAcentral